CUCAUAUAUAGCCAGGAUUCCGCAGGGCCAGAGUAGGGGAGUUGGUGACCACAGGCUCUGACUUAUUCAUCAUGUCCUGUUUGCUCACCAUCAAGGCCAGGGGCCUGCUCAUUGAGAGCUGAGAAAAUUUGAGUUUCCACAACAUCCACAGACAAUCUGGACCAUAAUCAAGUCAGUGCAGUCUAAAGCAAUGUUUCAAAUAUCCGAAGAUCCCCAUCCCAGCUCUGUCUUAUGAGAGAAACAAGGAAAGAGAGAAGGAAGGAAAGAAAGAGGGGAAGAGGCUGUGGGCAAGAUGGGAGAAGACAUCAAGAAACCCAAAGGCAAAGAAAAUGAUGGCUUUCAAGAAGAGUGGCAGGCCACACCUCUUCCCUUUGAACAACAAAUUCAUGUCACUUCUUUCCAAUAUCAAGACACCCGUAGGACACAAUAAUAUAUUUUCUCUCAGAUUUUUGUUAGAAUUCAGUCAAACUGUCUGCUUUAGAAUUUAUUAUCUCAUGACAUGAGCCUCUCAUUACAGGGUCACAUAUUUGAUUUAUGACAUCACCAGUUAAGUUGUUUCUAGUAUAACACUUACACAGUUAAAAUAUAUAAAUAUUUUUACAUAGAAGUUAUGAAAUUUCAAGUUGACUGAAUAACUGAACAACUAAAAACACUGGUUUUUUUAUAUUUGAAAAUGUAACUACAUGUGCAAGAAAAUUAUAGGUAAUAAAAUAAUAGUGAAGAAAAGAAAAAAAUAAGUGAAACAAGAAAAUAAGGAAACAAGUGGAUUACAAAAUUAUACAUUCUAGAGAGGAAAAACAGUCAAAUCAGAUAGGCAGAAGCAGGGAUACCUAAACGAACAUGGAUCAAUACAAGUUCUUCAACUACAUGAACACUGGUUGGGGGGGUCCCCAAGAAAGCAAAAUCCAAUGGAAAAUGUGACUGUAUUGGGUGGGUACCCUUUGUGCUAUUCAAAAGGACAAACAAUGCCGUGAGAAAUCUAAACCUACAAUGUAAUUGUUGACUCCAUAGUGUGACUAUAAAGUAGUGACAAAAUAAUUAUAUACUUGUUUCUAUUGUGUGUCAGAUAAAACAGCACAAAUUCUUGCACCCAUGUAUUACAAGAACAUCAAAGAACACGUUGUCAGUGUUCAAAUACGGCAAAAAGUUGAGAGGGAAGUUUUUCUGGUAAUCUCUCACAUUCAACAAACCACCGACAACAAGAUACUCCAAAGGAACCCACAGUGUGGGGCGAGAUGUAGGAAUUUCAUACACACAGACAAGAGGCAGGGGAGCU
Molecule: long non-coding RNA, 1276 nt
Filed under: Homo sapiens (human)
Lineage: Eukaryota; Metazoa; Chordata; Mammalia; Primates; Hominidae
Description: HSALNT0116208
Source: RNAcentral